GCAGCGUCAGAUGUGUAUAAGAGACAGGGUGAGUCAUCGAAUCUUUGAACGCACCUUGCGCCCUUUGGUAUUCCGAAGGGCAUGCCUGUUUGAGUGUCAUGAAACCUCACUCCACUUGGGUUUUUGCCUGAGUGGUAGUGUAUUGGGUGUUGCCUUGCCAAAGGCUCGCCUUAAAAGAAUAAGCACCUUGGAUGUAAUACGUUUCAUCCUUUCGGGUGGCUAAUAACCCCACAUAACUCAUGAUCUGGCCUCAAAUCAGGUAGGGCUACCCGCUGAACUUAAGCAUAUCAAUAAGCGGAG
RNAcentral lists this unclassified non-coding RNA (300 nucleotides) under uncultured Vishniacozyma. Its description in RNAcentral is "sequence contains 5.8S rRNA gene, ITS2". The stretch from base 1 to 99 matches the Rfam family "5.8S ribosomal RNA", at positions 52 to 154 of the family's 154-position model. Lineage: Eukaryota; Fungi; Basidiomycota; Tremellomycetes; Tremellales; Bulleribasidiaceae. The record is from RNAcentral.